This 429-nucleotide ribosomal RNA is filed under the name Pseudomonadota bacterium. Its description in RNAcentral is "Proteobacteria bacterium partial 16S ribosomal RNA". It matches the Rfam family "Bacterial small subunit ribosomal RNA", at positions 355 to 776 of the family's 1533-position model. The record is from RNAcentral. Lineage: Bacteria; Pseudomonadati; Pseudomonadota.
UGGGGAAUAUUGGACAAUGGGCGAAAGCCUGAUCCAGCCAUGCCGCGUGUGUGAAGAAGGUCUUCGGAUUGUAAAGCACUUUAAGUUGGGAGGAAGGGCAGUAAGCGAAUACCUUGCUGUUUUGACGUUACCGACAGAAUAAGCACCGGCUAACUCUGUGCCAGCAGCCGCGGUAAUACAGAGGGUGCAAGCGUUAAUCGGAAUUACUGGGCGUAAAGCGCGCGUAGGUGGUUCGUUAAGUUGAAUGUGAAAGCCCCGGGCUCAACCUGGGAACUGCAUCAAAAACUGGCGAGCUAGAGUAGGGCAGAGGGUGGUGGAAUUUCCUGUGUAGCGGUGAAAUGCGUAGAUAUAGGAAGGAACACCAGUGGCGAAGGCGACCACCUGGGCUCAUACUGACACUGAGGUGCGAAAGCGUGAGGAGCAAACAGG